GACGAACGCUGGCGGCGUGCUUAACACAUGCAAGUCGAACGGUGACCUCGAGAGCUUGCUCUUGGGUGAUCAGUGGCGAACGGGUGAGUAACACGUGAGUAACCUGCCCCAGACUCUGGAAUAACCCCGGGAAACCGGAGCUAAUACCGGAUACGAGACGGAGCCGCAUGGCUACCGUUUGGAAAGUUUUUCGGUCUGGGAUGGACUCGCGGCCUAUCAGUUAGUUGGUGAGGUAACGGCUCACCAAGACGACGACGGGUAGCCGGCCUGAGAGGGCGACCGGCCACACUGGGACUGAGACACGGCCCAGACUCCUACGGGAGGCAG
This 327-nucleotide ribosomal RNA is filed under the name uncultured Actinomycetes bacterium. Its description in RNAcentral is "bacterial SSU rRNA". It matches the Rfam family "Bacterial small subunit ribosomal RNA", at positions 28 to 351 of the family's 1533-position model. Lineage: Bacteria; Bacillati; Actinomycetota; Actinomycetes. The record is from RNAcentral.